RNAcentral lists this ribosomal RNA (253 nucleotides) under uncultured bacterium. Its description in RNAcentral is "partial 16S ribosomal RNA". It matches the Rfam family "Bacterial small subunit ribosomal RNA", at positions 524 to 776 of the family's 1533-position model. The record is from RNAcentral.
GACAGAGGGUGCAAACGUUGCUCGGAAUUACUGGGCGUAAAGCGCGUGUAGGUGGAUUGGUGUGCCAGAUGUGAAAGCCCUGGGCUCAACCCAGGAACUGCACCUGAAACUACCAGUCUUGAGUGGUGGAGAGGGAAGUGGAAUUCCUGGUGUAGAGGUGAAAUUCGUAGAUAUCAGGAGGAACACCAGUGGCGAAGGCGGCUCCCUGGCCGAACACUGACGCUGAGACGCGAAAGCGCGGGGAGCGAACGGG